GACGAACGCUGGCGGCGUGCCUAAUACAUGCAAGUAGAACGCUGAAGGAGGAGCUUGCUUCUCUGGAUGAGUUGCGAACGGGUGAGUAACGCGUAGGUAACCUGACUGGUAGCGGGGGAUAACUAUUGGAAACGAUAGCUAAUACCGCAUAAUAGUAGAUGUUGCAUGACAUUUGCUUAAAAGGUGCAAUUGCAUCACUACCAGAUGGACCUGCGUUGUAUUAGCUAGUUGGGGGGGUAACGGCACACCAACGCGACGAUACAUAGGCUACCUGGGAGGGGGGUCGGCCACACUUGGACUGAGGCACGGCCCAGGCUCCUUCGGGAGGCAGCAGGAGGGAAUCUUCGGCAAUGGACGGAAGUCUGACCGAGCAACGCCGCGGGAGGGAAGAAGGUUUUCGGAUCGUAAAGCUCUGUUGUUAGAGAAGAACGAGUGUGAGAGUGGAAAGUUCACACUGUGACGGUAUCUUACCAGAAAGGGACGGCUAACUACGUG
RNAcentral lists this ribosomal RNA (495 nucleotides) under uncultured bacterium. Its description in RNAcentral is "partial 16S ribosomal RNA". It matches the Rfam family "Bacterial small subunit ribosomal RNA", at positions 28 to 507 of the family's 1533-position model. The record is from RNAcentral.